Non-coding RNA from Albula goreensis, 75 nucleotides. The record is from the annotation of a GenBank genome assembly. Lineage: Eukaryota; Metazoa; Chordata; Actinopteri; Albuliformes; Albulidae.
GCAGCCGGUAGUCUAGUGGCUAAGAUGCAUGACUGGAAGCUCUGAGGUUGGUGGUUCAAGCCCCAGUCCUGGGCA